Molecule: long non-coding RNA, 2246 nt
Organism: Vigna angularis (adzuki bean)
Lineage: Eukaryota; Viridiplantae; Streptophyta; Magnoliopsida; Fabales; Fabaceae
Exons: 2
Source: RefSeq, a predicted model, not a curated record
UGAAAAUUUUGCAUCUUACACUUUGGUAGAGAGAGAACAGAAGGUUGGGAGAGAGCGUGAACCUAGAGAGAAAGUAAAGUGUUUCCCCAUACAACCUUCACCUAAUCAGUUGUCUGAGCAGAAGCGGCCGUUCACAAAAUUUGUACCGUUCACCGGACCGUCAAAUCUUGUCUGUUGUCGUUCCACCGUCGUUCCUCGGUUUCGAAGCUAACGAAAGCGCUCGGUAUUAGGACACAGUAGAUAACGCUUCUUAAGAUAAGCACUAUGACUAUCCUGUUUUUUUUUUCGUUUCGCUUUUUAGUGCUUCUUUUUCAUUUCGCUCCUUCGUGUUUCUUUUUCGUUUCGCUCAUUCAUGCUUCUCUUUCCUCCUUCGUGCUACUUUCGGCGUCAUUGCCUCAAGCACUAGAUAUAUAGUGUUUCGUUCGUCCACUGAGAUUCAGGGUAGAGGAUUCAAUGUACAAAUUAAUUAUGCUGAAGAACCUAUCCAAGACUACGUUCAGGCUGUUGUUUCAACGACACUCUUGAUACACGAGCGGGUAUUUUAAUCCCUUACAAUGAGAUGGAAUAAAUUCAAGUAAUGCAUUUUAUAUUUGAGGCAUUUUAAUCACUUCAGUUUAAUUACAUGUUUUGUUGCUUAGUGAUUACAUUAGACUUGAUCAUAGAUUUUAAACUGAGUGUUAUUUAUUUGAUACAUAUCAUAGUAACUGUAAUAUAAUUUUUGAAGAAUAUCCCUUGUAUUUUCUCAAAAUUUUAGAGAAGUUUCAUCAAUUUUUAUGACACUUAUUGUCUUUUUUAAAAUUUUAUACAAGUUGUUGUUUGUUUAUGAAGAAUUUAAAACAUUGAAAUUUUCAAUAUUUAUUGGGUUGAUAGUUUCCUAGUCAUGGUACUGUAUGAAUUUUAAAUUAACAUGCUUUUCUGUAUUUUCUUCAUUAUUUCAAUUUAUUAUAAUUUUCCUAGUCAUUUUGGUUGAUUCUAGCUGCCAUCCUAGUAAUUUUAUUUUUAGAAGUGUUCCCUUCACUCUUUUUUUCCACCUUACGCUGAUUUCUAAGAUGUCUUCAAGUGUAAUUUUCUUUCAUGCUUAGUAACAGAUUUCUGAUAUUGAAAAUUUGGUUGUGGCUCCAAUAUCUAGGCCUCUAUUAGACAAAGAGCUGGUAGGGGUCGAUGAGUUUGACCAGGAAAGUGUUACAGGUGUUGUUUCAAUUAUUUACUAAAAAUGUUUUUCUAUAAAAUAUGAUUUGUUAUCCUAGUUGCCUCUUGCUUAUGAUACAAGAGAUUGACUCUGAUAUCGAGUUAUGGAAGGUGACUGUUGAUCUAUAAUCAUCUUCUUAUCUAUGUAAUGACAACAUGCUUUACAACAUUCACCUUUUAAAACAUUUUUAUUAUAUAUAUUUGUUACUGUUGACUCAUCAUUAUUCUUUCAUGAUCCAUUCCCUGAUUAAGUUCCCUCUUCUUGCUAUGUUAUUUUGUCUAGAUUUCAGUUUGAUUGUUGUUUUAAAUUUACAUGAUAUGUUUGCAUUAUAUGAUGUUCUUACUUGAGGUUAUACACUUGGUCUUAUGUUCUAAUGUGUUACUAACACAACCAUUAGUUGCCUGAUUAGUCAUCGACACAGUGGCUUCAUAUUACUUUAUGUUCACAUAUCUAUGAUUUAAUUGCCUUUUUUCUCUUAGUAAUUAGAAAGUGCUUAAUAUGGUGUAUUGACCAAUCUCUUAACCACUCUUGUUUACAAAAUCUUUCUUUAUAUAAAUGAUUAUGUUAAAAUUUGCAAUUAUUUUCGGUGUGAUCAUAUUCUUUCAUACGACUUGGGAAUGAAAUUUCUUACAUAUGAAAGGAGUGAGCUCAAAUUUUCAUACCACAGACCAGUGACGGUCACAUACAUGGUAGAGGUUGAGAUUGAAAGCCCUGAAUUUGAUUGAUGUAGAGAUUGAAAACGAAGAAGUCAUGACAAAUUUAGUUAUAGUUGAAAUUUGAACAUAUGUGAGGAAAAUUUGAUGGGAAAAUUUAUGUAUCCUUAUAAAAAUAAACAGAAUGCAGAUAUAUGUUAGAUAAGUGACAAGUAUUUUCCAUAUUUAGUUGUAUGGAGAGAUGAUUGCAAUUGCAACAUGCAAAUAGGUGAUGCAUAAGAUAAACUUUCUUGUGUUAUCUUAUUAUUAGUAAAAAAGAUUUUGGUAUAAUUGUGAGAAAAUUUUAUAGUUUUUUUGUUGUUAUCAAAUAUGAGUAUGAUAUUGAUGAAUUAUAAUAUCUAAAU